UUUUUUUUUUUUAAAGCGUCGGACGUUGGCGAAGCGACGGGGCAGGACAGUCGGUUUUCUUGAGCCAAAACUACAGAUGAUUCUUAUUUUUGUAAUCAGUUGCUGGCUUCUUAAUCUGGACGAAGGUUUCUCGGGGAGGCGGGGAGGGAAGGGGGAGAAGGAAGCCGGAGGACUGCGCCGGGAGGAAGAGGAGGAGGAGGAGGAAGAGGAGGAGGAGGAGGAGGAGGAGGAGAAGAGCAAUCUCAGUUUCAGCUGGAUCUGUCACUGAUCACGUCCCGGCUCGGGGACAUGGCGGGGGGGGGGUGUCAACGCUGGACUUCUGUGCGAAAGGGCCGUUUUUAUUCACGCUUCAACAAAAAAACUUCUCCCCCCUCCGCCCCAGCCCGCUUGUGCGUACAAUCAGCUUUUUCUAGCAAUCGUGAGUUUGUCGGUUUUAAAGAAAAACAGAGUAUUUUGACCCACCAUUUUUUCCAUGUUUUAUGCUGGUUUAAAGCCUCCUAGCAAAAACUGAGGCGACAACGUGUAUAUUACAACCGGGGGAAAAAAAAAAAGACAAAAAAAGAACAGUUCGGGGAAAAAAAAAAACUGCAAUAAUUUUUAGGGGGAAGGAUGGGGGGAGGGGUCUGUCAAUUACUGUAGAUAAAAUUUUCUGAUUAAAUAUUAAAUAAAAUUGAGCAGUCGGUUCUUUCUGCUUUGAUUGUGUUUAACAGCUGAGGUAGCUUAAACUAUUUAAAAUAAUAAUAAUAAAAUAAUAAUAAUAAUUGAAUUCUCUGUUGGGAGACAGCUUAUUUUUUUCCCCUCAAGCCUGUCACUGUAAAUAGCUCUGAUCUCUGUAUAAAUUUGUUUUCUUCUCUUUUUAGUUGGGAUCGCUUUUAAUAUUCACUGCUGACUUUUACUGGGGGGGGAGGUGGGGUUAUGGGUUUUUUUCCCCUCUCUCUCUUCAAAUCGCGCUGGUUUGUGGAAAAUGUGUAGCUUUGUUGAUUGACCUUUGCAAGAGUUAAAAAAAAAAAACAGACAAAAAAGAAUCAGAGUCGCCAGCUGGCGUUUGGUUGUUUCUGUGCCGACGGUGUGGCGCCGGGAUGGAGCCGGCGGCGCUCCGCGAUGCUCUGCCGGGUCCCUUCGCCGGCGUCCGGCUUCACCUCGGGUUCGAGGAGGCGGAAAUGAGAGAGACAGGGGGGUUUUGUGCCGGCGGUGGGGCGGCGGGUCGGGCCGGCAUCGCCCACGUUCCCCCACGUGCUUCCCCGCCGCGGUUUUCCCGGGAACGGAUCGGGGAGGGGAGGCGGUGAGGGAGACCGGCGCCGAGCCCGAUCGUCCCGCCGGGGGGGAACUGGAGCGGCCGGGUGGGCGCGCAGAUGGAAUAAGGCGACGGAGGCGGCGGGAGGCAGGGGAAGGUUUAAUGGCAGCGGGGUCAGCGGAGGAGACGCAGCGCGUGGUCCAGGCCCUGGUGCCGCAGCGUCUCCGCCAGCGCCCGCAGGGCGGCCUCGUCCGCGGCCUGGGGGAGAGGGAGGGAGGGAGAGAGGGAGAGAGGGGUGAGCGGGGAGGGGGGAGGAGAGCGCCCCC
Molecule: long non-coding RNA, 1560 nt
Organism: Apteryx owenii (little spotted kiwi)
Lineage: Eukaryota; Metazoa; Chordata; Aves; Apterygiformes; Apterygidae
Source: Ensembl